GUGCCUGUGGCUCAAGGAGUAGGGCACCGGCCUCAUAUACCGGAGGUGGCAGGUUCAAACCCUGCCCUGGCCA
Otolemur garnettii (small-eared galago) is the source of this 73-nucleotide non-coding RNA. Lineage: Eukaryota; Metazoa; Chordata; Mammalia; Primates; Galagidae. The record is from Rfam.